This 1271-nucleotide ribosomal RNA is filed under the name metagenome. RNAcentral describes it as "SSU rRNA". It matches the Rfam family "Eukaryotic small subunit ribosomal RNA", at positions 1 to 1306 of the family's 1831-position model. The record is from RNAcentral.
UCUGGUUGAUCCUGCCAGUAGUCAUAUGCUUGUCUCAAAGAUUAAGCCAUGCAUGUCUAAGUAUAAAUAGUAUACAGUGAAACUGCGAAUGGCUCAUUAAAACAGUUAUAGUUUAUUUGAUAAUUGACAAUUACAUGGAUAACCGUGGUAAUUCUAGAGCUAAUACAUGCUUAAACGCCCGACUUUAUGGAAGGGUGGUAUUUAUUAGACUGAAGCCAAUAUUCCUUGUGUCUAUUGCGGUGAUUCAUAAUAACUGAUCGAAUCUCUUUUUGAGAUAAAUCAUUCAAGUUUCUGCCCUAUCAGCUUUCGAUGGUAGUGUAUUGGACUACCAUGGCAGUAACGGGUAACGAAGAAUUAGGGUUCGAUUUCGGAGAGGGAGCAUGAGAAACGGCUACCACAUCUAAGGAAGGCAGCAGGCGCGUAAAUUACCCAAUCCUGACUCAGGGAGGUAGUGACAAGAAAUAGCAAACCGGGAACCUCAUGGUUUCACGGUAUUGCAAUGAGAACAAUUUAAAACCCUUAGCGAGAAUCAAGUGGAGGACAAGUCUGGUGCCAGCACCCGCGGUAAUUCCAGCUCCACUAGCGUAUAUUAAAGUUGUUGCAGUUAAAAAGCUCGUAGUUGAACCUCUGUCUGGGGCUAGUUUUGGCUUUGGUCGGGCUAGUUCUAGGCAUCCGCCUACGAGACUUAGAGGGCAUUCAGUUGUUCACUAGGAGGAGUAGGCAUCUUACUUUGAAAAAAUUAGAGUGUUUAAGGCAGGCAAUCGCCCGCAUAUAUUAGCAUGGAAUAAUAGAAUAGGACACUUUUCCAUUUCGUUGGUUAUUGGAAUCGUGUAAUGAUUAAUAGGGACAGUUGUGGGCAUUUGUAUUUAAUUGUCAGAGGUGAAAUUCUUGGAUUUAUUAAAGACAAACUAACGCGAAAGCAUUUGCCAAGGAUGUUUUCAUUAAUCAAGAACGAAAGUUAGGGGAUCAAAGACGAUCAGAUACCGUCCUAGUCUUAACUAUAAACUAUUCCGACUCAAUGUUUGACUGGCUUAUAUAACCAGUUGAGCGUUGUAUGAGAAAUCAAAGUCUUUAGGUUCUGGGGGGAGUAUGGUUGCAAAGCUGAAACUUAAAGGAAUUGACGGAAGAGCACAACCAGGAGUGGAUUCUGCGGCUUAAUUUGACUCAACACGGGGAAACUUACCAGGUUAAGACAAUAGUGGGAUUGACAGUUUGAGAGCGCUUUCUUGAUUGGUUGGGUGGUGGUGCAUGGCCGUUCUUAGUUGGUGGAG